This 2767-nucleotide long non-coding RNA is filed under the name Homo sapiens (human). RNAcentral describes it as "non-protein coding H19:1". The stretch from base 1462 to 1534 matches the Rfam family "mir-675 microRNA precursor family". Lineage: Eukaryota; Metazoa; Chordata; Mammalia; Primates; Hominidae. The record is from RNAcentral.
GGCUGAGAUAAUCUGCUAAUGUGGGUGCAGCAGACAUCCCGCGGUUUGUGGAAUCGAUAAAGGAUGGGGAUCAAUGGUGUUUGUGCACUGUGCGGUCUGUGCCCAAUUGCCUGCCUUGUGCUGUGGAAUCUGUACAUCUGGCCAACAUGUGCUUGUGUGAGCCUGACAGUGCAUUUUCCAGAGCCUCACCUCGGCUCUGCCCUGGAGGCUCUGUGCUGCUGGAAUCAGACUCAAGGACCUCAUCAGAGGACCAUGGCCCCGUAUCACCUGGGUCAGGCACUGAAGCUGGGACAGGAGAGCAGAGACUUCCAAAAUGAGGGAUCCCUGUGUUCUGAGGUGAUCAUGACUGGGACCCAAGGACUCAAGCGCAUGCUCCAGAGGGAAUCGUUUCCCACAAGGCCUUUGGCAGGAACAGGGAUCCUGGGAGCCUGCCAAGCAGAGCGCACAGUGUUCCUGGAGUCUCGCUGCCCAGAUGCCACGGAAUCAGUUGAAGACUGGGGAAGUGGGGAACCGAGGGGCAACCAGGGGAAGAUGGGGUGCUGGAGGAGAGCUUGUGGGAGCCAAGGAGCACCUUGGACAUCUGGAGUCUGGCAGGAGUGAUGACGGGUGGAGGGGCUAGCUCGAGGCAGGGCUGGUGGGGCCUGAGGCCAGUGAGGAGUGUGGAGUAGGCGCCCAGGCAUCGUGCAGACAGGGCGACAUCAGCUGGGGACGAUGGGCCUGAGCUAGGGCUGGAAAGAAGGGGGAGCCAGGCAUUCAUCCCGGUCACUUUUGGUUACAGGACGUGGCAGCUGGUUGGACGAGGGGAGCUGGUGGGCAGGGUUUGAUCCCAGGGCCUGGGCAACGGAGGUGUAGCUGGCAGCAGCGGGCAGGUGAGGACCCCAUCUGCCGGGCAGGUGAGUCCCUUCCCUCCCCAGGCCUCGCUUCCCCAGCCUUCUGAAAGAAGGAGGUUUAGGGGAUCGAGGGCUGGCGGGGAGAAGCAGACACCCUCCCAGCAGAGGGGCAGGAUGGGGGCAGGAGAGUUAGCAAAGGUGACAUCUUCUCGGGGGGAGCCGAGACUGCGCAAGGCUGGGGGGUUAUGGGCCCGUUCCAGGCAGAAAGAGCAAGAGGGCAGGGAGGGAGCACAGGGGUGGCCAGCGUAGGGUCCAGCACGUGGGGUGGUACCCCAGGCCUGGGUCAGACAGGGACAUGGCAGGGGACACAGGACAGAGGGGUCCCCAGCUGCCACCUCACCCACCGCAAUUCAUUUAGUAGCAGGCACAGGGGCAGCUCCGGCACGGCUUUCUCAGGCCUAUGCCGGAGCCUCGAGGGCUGGAGAGCGGGAAGACAGGCAGUGCUCGGGGAGUUGCAGCAGGACGUCACCAGGAGGGCGAAGCGGCCACGGGAGGGGGGCCCCGGGACAUUGCGCAGCAAGGAGGCUGCAGGGGCUCGGCCUGCGGGCGCCGGUCCCACGAGGCACUGCGGCCCAGGGUCUGGUGCGGAGAGGGCCCACAGUGGACUUGGUGACGCUGUAUGCCCUCACCGCUCAGCCCCUGGGGCUGGCUUGGCAGACAGUACAGCAUCCAGGGGAGUCAAGGGCAUGGGGCGAGACCAGACUAGGCGAGGCGGGCGGGGCGGAGUGAAUGAGCUCUCAGGAGGGAGGAUGGUGCAGGCAGGGGUGAGGAGCGCAGCGGGCGGCGAGCGGGAGGCACUGGCCUCCAGAGCCCGUGGCCAAGGCGGGCCUCGCGGGCGGCGACGGAGCCGGGAUCGGUGCCUCAGCGUUCGGGCUGGAGACGAGGCCAGGUCUCCAGCUGGGGUGGACGUGCCCACCAGCUGCCGAAGGCCAAGACGCCAGGUCCGGUGGACGUGACAAGCAGGACAUGACAUGGUCCGGUGUGACGGCGAGGACAGAGGAGGCGCGUCCGGCCUUCCUGAACACCUUAGGCUGGUGGGGCUGCGGCAAGAAGCGGGUCUGUUUCUUUACUUCCUCCACGGAGUCGGCACACUAUGGCUGCCCUCUGGGCUCCCAGAACCCACAACAUGAAAGAGAAAUGGUGCUACCCAGCUCAAGCCUGGGCCUUUGAAUCCGGACACAAAACCCUCUAGCUUGGAAAUGAAUAUGCUGCACUUUACAACCACUGCACUACCUGACUCAGGAAUCGGCUCUGGAAGGUGAAGCUAGAGGAACCAGACCUCAUCAGCCCAACAUCAAAGACACCAUCGGAACAGCAGCGCCCGCAGCACCCACCCCGCACCGGCGACUCCAUCUUCAUGGCCACCCCCUGCGGCGGACGGUUGACCACCAGCCACCACAUCAUCCCAGAGCUGAGCUCCUCCAGCGGGAUGACGCCGUCCCCACCACCUCCCUCUUCUUCUUUUUCAUCCUUCUGUCUCUUUGUUUCUGAGCUUUCCUGUCUUUCCUUUUUUCUGAGAGAUUCAAAGCCUCCACGACUCUGUUUCCCCCGUCCCUUCUGAAUUUAAUUUGCACUAAGUCAUUUGCACUGGUUGGAGUUGUGGAGACGGCCUUGAGUCUCAGUACGAGUGUGCGUGAGUGUGAGCCACCUUGGCAAGUGCCUGUGCAGGGCCCGGCCGCCCUCCAUCUGGGCCGGGUGACUGGGCGCCGGCUGUGUGCCCGAGGCCUCACCCUGCCCUCGCCUAGUCUGGAAGCUCCGACCGACAUCACGGAGCAGCCUUCAAGCAUUCCAUUACGCCCCAUCUCGCUCUGUGCCCCUCCCCACCAGGGCUUCAGCAGGAGCCCUGGACUCAUCAUCAAUAAACACUGUUACAGCAA